GAUGAACGCUGGCGGCGUGCCUAAUACAUGCAAGUCGAGCGAACAGACGAGGAGCUUGCUCCUCUGACGUUAGCGGCGGACGGGUGAGUAGCACGUGGAUAACCUACCUAUAAGACUGGGAUAACUUCGGGAAACCGGAGCUAAUACCGGAUAAUAUAUUGAACCGCAUGGUUCAAUAGUGAAAGACGGUUUUGCUGUCACUUAUAGAUGGAUCCGCGCCGCAUUAGCUAGUUGGUAAGGUAACGGCUUACCAAGGCGACGAUGCGUAGCCGACCUGAGAGGGUGAUCGGCCACACUGGAACUGAGACACGGUCCAGACUCCUACGGGAGGCAGCAGUAGGGAAUCUUCCGCAAUGGGCGAAAGCCUGACGGAGCAACGCCGCGUGAGUGAUGAAGGUCUUCGGAUCGUAAAACUCUGUUACUAGGGAAGAACAAAUGUGUAAGUAACUAUGCACGUCUUGACGGUACCUAAUCAGAAAGCCACGGCUAACUACGUG
RNAcentral lists this ribosomal RNA (497 nucleotides) under uncultured bacterium. RNAcentral describes it as "partial 16S ribosomal RNA". It matches the Rfam family "Bacterial small subunit ribosomal RNA", at positions 28 to 507 of the family's 1533-position model. The record is from RNAcentral.